GCUGUCCUGUGGUGUUGGUGAGAAUUGAAAUGUUUAUUGCUCAACCUACUAAUUUGGAAUCCCGCAAUAUUCUUGGUAAUUAUAGGCGGCCUCGGUUGCCCGAGACAGUAAUAAGCGGCAAGGAUGAGGGAAUCCCCCUGUUUUAACGGGCGUUAAAACUUCUUUUCGCCACGGCAUCUACGGGAUUUAU
Molecule: non-coding RNA, 190 nt
Filed under: Spirochaetales bacterium
Lineage: Bacteria; Pseudomonadati; Spirochaetota; Spirochaetia; Spirochaetales
Description: 6S RNA
Rfam family: 6S / SsrS RNA
About the family: E. coli 6S RNA was the first non coding RNA to be sequenced, but its function was unknown until recently. It consists of 184 nucleotides that fold into an extended hairpin structure with a large single-stranded internal bulge.
Source: RNAcentral